RNAcentral lists this unclassified non-coding RNA (612 nucleotides) under uncultured eukaryote. RNAcentral's name for it is "partial contains 5.8S rRNA and ITS2". The record is from RNAcentral.
CCUCACGUAUCAGUUUAACGCUCUUUGCAUCUUUCCCUCACGUCUUUGUAUCUUUCCCUCACGUAUAUGUGCGUUCAAAAUCUUGAUGAGCGUUCAAAACCUUUGCAUCUUUCCCUCACGUGUGCGUUCAAAAUCUUGCAUCUUUCCCUCACGGUACUAUACAAUGAGCGUUCAAAUCUUUGCAUCUUUCCCCCACGGUACUACAAUGUGCGUUCAAAAUCUUGCAUCUCUCCCUCACGGUACUAUCAAUGUGCGUUCAAAAUCUUUGCAUCUUUCCCUCACGUGUGCGUUCAAAAUCUUGAUGAGCGUUCAAAACCUUUGCAUCUUUCCCUCACGUAUAUGUGCGUUCAAAAUCUUGAUGGGCGUUCAAAACCUUUGCAUCCUUCCCUCACGUAUGUGCGUUCAAAAUCUUGAUGAGCGUUCAAAAUCUUUGCAUCUUUCCCUCACGGUACUAUACAAUGUGCGUUCAAGAUCCUGGAUCAUUCCCUCACGGUACUCAAUGUGCGUUCAAAACUUGAGAUGUGCGUUCAAAACCUUGCAUCUUUCCCUCACGGUACUGCAUCUUUCCCUCACGGUACUCAAUGUGCGUUCAAAACCUUUGCAUCUUUCCCU